This 446-nucleotide ribosomal RNA is filed under the name uncultured bacterium. RNAcentral's name for it is "SSU rRNA". It matches the Rfam family "Bacterial small subunit ribosomal RNA", at positions 26 to 518 of the family's 1533-position model. The record is from RNAcentral.
AGAACGAACGCUGGCGGCAUGCCUAACACAUGCAAGUCGAACGAGACCUUCGGGUCUAGUGGCGCACGGGUGCGUAACGCGUGGGAAUCUGCCCUUAGGUACGGAAUAACAGUGAGAAAUUACUGCUAAUACCGUAUGAUGUCUUCGGACCAAAGAUUUAUCGCCUAGGGAUGAGCCCGCGUUGGAUUAGCUAGUUGGUGGGGUAAAGGCCUACCAAGGCGACGAUCCAUAGCUGGUCUGAGAGGAUGAUCAGCCACACUGGGACUGAGACACGGCCCAGACUCCUACGGGAGGCAGCAGUGGGGAAUAUUGGACAAUGGGCGAAAGCCUGAUCCAGCAAUGCCGCGUGAGUGAAGAAGGCCUUAGGGUUGUAAAGCUCUUUUACCCGGGAAGAUAAUGACUGUACCGGGAGAAUAAGCCCCGGCUAACUCCGCGCCAGCAGCCGC